Molecule: ribosomal RNA, 253 nt
Filed under: uncultured bacterium
Lineage: Bacteria
Description: partial 16S ribosomal RNA
Rfam family: Bacterial small subunit ribosomal RNA
Source: RNAcentral
UACGUAGGGCGCAAGCGUUAUCCGGAAUUAUUGGGCGUAAAGAGCUCGUAGGCGGUUUGUCGCGUCUGCCGUGAAAGUCCGGGGCUCAACUCCGGAUCUGCGGUGGGUACGGGCAGACUAGAGUGAUGUAGGGGAGACUGGAAUUCCUGGUGUAGCGGUGAAAUGCGCAGAUAUCAGGAGGAACACCGAUGGCGAAGGCGGCCAUCUGGACCGGAACUGACGCUGAGGCGCGAAAGCCAGGGGAGCGAAUGGG